Non-coding RNA from Dermacentor albipictus, 5132 nucleotides. The record is from RefSeq and is a predicted model, not a curated record. NCBI's taxonomy places the organism in Eukaryota, Metazoa, Arthropoda, Arachnida, Ixodida, Ixodidae.
CUGCAGUAUUUGUUUGGUCGACAUACCACGUUGGUUGUCGUAAAGUGCGGUAUUUGAGUUAUAUUUUAGAAGAGCCUAGACAAAAUGUGCUCCUUGCCGUGUGCAGUAGCCAUCGCAAACCCUCCGGACUCGUGUAACGCCGUUAGUUCGCCGUGUGUUUCGUGCGAUCUACCAGUGUCGACAGUGAGUGUUACUAGAGCGCCCGUCCGAGCUGCCUUUGUUCUGCCCACGACCGGCUUAUAAAGCCGGUCGUGGUUCUGCCAAGCUGCCUGCCCGCGCUCCCGUGAAAAGUCUGGUACUGGAGCUUCGAAUCGUAGUGUAUGGAAGGCUGUUGAAGGUUGUGCUUUUGUGGAGCUGGAGUUCAUCGGAAGUUCUACAGUGCUUGCGCCAGAAAGACGUCGGUGCCUCGGUACCUUUGAGACGAAGGAGCGUUGGCCAAGUCUUUUUGAAAGGCUAUGCGGUUUCUGGAGGCAUCCCUACAUCGAGCAGGAAUCUGCUGCACUGCUGGAAGCUGGACAGCACGACAAUAAAGCACGUGAUCUGCGUGCUUUCUCAAAGGUAGACAUCGACGACGGUGUACAUGUUGAAAAGGGCCUGCUGAAGAGGCUGCGCCUGGAUGCUAACAACUCGGGCUUUCAGUUUGCGGGGGGCCUCCUUAAGGCUCCUUUUACAAAAGAAGAGGUUGAAGGGAGGCGCUACACAUGGAUGCGCAGCGAUUGUUUGUGACAGCGUCACUGCUGGCAGGCCUGGCCUGCCUUUUCGCUUUGUUCUGGGUCUUCCACGUUAUCUACUCGAAAAAGGCCCACAGGAUUUUGACAUUUAUUGAGCACUGCUUUCUGGAUUUUUGCUACACAAAGCCGCAGGUGAUAGCAUUGGAUUUAGUCAAUUUUUACAAGAACUAUUGCUAGGCAAAAAAAUUUUCAGAUGCAUAUCCUCAAGAAAGUUUCUGUCAAAAUUAUUUUGCCUAACAAAAGCACUCGUGGGUUCUGUGGCUGACAGGUUGCCCAAGCCAUGUAGCACAGUGCUUGCUUUAAAGGGACACGAAAAAGAAAAUUUGUUUGAGCUUUAUUAAAUCAUUCUUCUACAACACCGAAAAAACAACUCCCACCAUGAGAAUUGGCUUGAUAAGCCAGAUAACUUGCAAAAACGAAAACUGGUGCCGCCACCACCACCUUAUAGUUCCUGCACCAGCUCGCUGUGAUAUGGAAUUUGACGGUGUCUGUUCGGGUCUAGCUAAUGUUCUACUGGCCAAUAUUGAUGAAUUCUGUUGUAAAGGUGUCAAAGAAUAUACUUAGUUGAAGUAUGACUCCACACGGAUGUGCGGGCACUGCAUAAAACUUGAAAAAUGAAAGUUAAAUCUUCAUUUUCUCUUCUAAUAAUCCUCUUAUUGCCACAAUGUUCAUGAAUACAGUUCUGAAAGAUUGUUUUAUCAGUCUAAAAUGAUUUACUGUUUCACUUUAGUAUUUCUGUAAUGGACCUUCAGCAACAAAAUGUGUGUUAGUAUUCCACAGGUAUUCUCAGCGGGGGCAAAAGCACCAGCAGCAUGCUCAAUGAUUCUGUACCAACUGAUAACUUGAAGGAUAUCCUGUGCCACUAGGGUUAGGCCAACGUGGCUCUGUGUUAAUCAAGUGUAUUAUGCAAAACUUAAUGGCCCAGAAAUUGGUAAUUCAGGAGGGAGUUGAAUUAGCUAUUUUUUUUUCUUUAUCAUGGACUUCUCACAUUACACUUUGUCACAACGCAUUCACUUUAAAGUAACUGUGGAGAAUAAGGUGGUUUGGUAUUCAGACAUGCCUUCUGUGUGUAAACAGUGUUAGAUGAGCAAUACAAAGAUGCACCAUAGAUGCUGACUGGCAACAUGAAGGAGUUUGAGGGCAGCUACAAAUAUACAUCCUUGUAGUCGUACCUAUAGCACCAUGUUCAAUUUGUCACACAAGCAUAUGGCAUCCAUCACAACUGCAUGCCUAGAAACGGACAAGGGCAACACGCUCAAUUCCCUUUUAGUCUAUCUAAGAAGCACUACAAUUUUUAGGCAACGAAAUUGAAAUCUGGCUUGUACCCAUAAGUACUGCAAUACAGUUGUGCAACGUGUUCCUCUUGUGUGGAAAACGGGCUGCAUAUGUUUUCUUUGAGCACAAGGGGGAGUGGUAUCAGUUAGAGCCCCUCCAUCCACGUGCCACUGCCGCUUUCUUAGGUAGCGACAACCGUUGUUGUGCGCCGCCUUUUCCCCUCACACCAAAUCCAGUUCCAGCAUUUCCAGUUUAAAAGUUUCCGGUUCCGGCGUUACCGCUUCCUGAAGUUGUGCUGCGGGAAUUUCCGCUUUGACUGCCGAUGGUGAGACGCCCACGCGUGCUUAGCAGAGCUGUGGGAGUCACCAUGAGAAGAAUGCAAAGGCGACAAGCUGUUGUAUUCCGCUGAAGUAGUAAUUCGUGGUCGCUGUUUUCUAAAUGCACGAAAAACGGCAGUGGUCUCCAAGCGCCCAGGCACUACAUUCCACUGUACGUUGUCUCUCGUGGCACAACCCGUCGCAGGUUGAUGCGAAACAGCGAACACGAUCAGAUCGCUGAUUGCAAUAGGCGGUGGUACUUGGAUGGAAUCGCAUUCACAGUUUAAACCGCAGCUGGUGCAAUUAAAGCCUCUCCAUCGACGCGAAAGUAAACAACGUUAAGAAAAACAUAGCGUUACUUCCACUCGGAACAGGAAGCUGCAGCUACGGAAAUUCCGCUUGACACCGGAAACUAAGGGGGUGAGUGGCAGAGGAGCGUGGAGGAAGAGGGUAGGUUGGCGGUACUUAACCUGGUCGGCGGAAACGUGUAUGGAGGGGCUUUAGUAUCAGUUAAUGGCUGUUUUCACAUAUAUGUUUUGUCGUGUGUAUUAGCAAUCACCAUUUUCCUUAUCUGAGUGAGGUCAUUUUUUAGAAAGUUUGAAAGUUUAUAGAACAUGUUGCUCAUGGUUGUUGCAGUUUUCUUCCUAACUGUCCAUUCAUUGCACUGUGCACCCAUGUCUUGGGCAACUGGCUGUUUGAAGGUCAGUAUGCUAUCGAUGGGUCUAAUGGUAAUCUCUAGUGCCCUCUCAUUUGCUUGUUGCAAUACUGAAGAGUUUUGUAUAUUGUGUCACUUGUUUAUUUUCACUGUACUUUAGUUUCACUACAUCUUGAAUGUGUUGUGAUAGUUUUUCUUUUGCAAGGAAAGAUAUGGUGGACAGUUGCCAACACUAAUGUGAUAGUAUGAAUGCCUGCUGUAUUUAUCACGAUUGUUUCAUUUCGCUGGGGCACUAAUGGUCAUUAGCAGCAGAUGCUAGCUGCCCUUAAGUGCAAUGUUUUUAUGUUGCAUAGUAUUGUUCAUGAUCCAUUGAAUGCACUGCACGCGCAUGUUGUGGACAACUGCCUGUUUGAAGAAAUUGUCUGCAUAUUCAGUGGGUCUAAUGUGAACAUCUCUACUACUGACUUAGCUUCACUACAUCUUGAAUGUGUUGUGAUAGUUUUUAUUUUGCCGUGACAGAUGUGGUGGGCAGUUGCCGGCACUAAUGUGAUACAGUGAAAGCUCGUUAAUUCGAACUUCAAUAAUUCGAAUUUAUGGAUAAUUCAAACUGUGCGACUUGGUCCGGCCAAGCUCCAUAGAAGUCUAUGUAUAAAAAAGUCCGUUAAUUCGAACACGAGAAGGUUCCCUCACGGAUAAUUCGAACUACGCUCGCCUGGCACACGGCCAGAAAAACACGCCUACUGCCUACACACAAGGCUAUAUUGCCUCCGAAACGGAAAGAACGGCGAGAAAAGGCAAAAUCGUAAAAAAAUCUAACCUGCACGGGGUCAGCCAGAAGCCAGCGGCGGCUGCCGCCUCUCCGUUCUACGUAACCUCAGAGACUUCUUGCCCGUUGCGAAUCCCGGAGGCUUUAGAAAUCUUGUACAGCUGCUAAUGUUGUGCGAAGAUGGCACGGCAAACGCCAAAACACAGCGAAUCAAGUACGUCGCAGCUGCGCUUGCAAUCAAGAACCAACGAAUCAGGGCCUUCGCCACCUUCACGUGUUCAGCGUCUUUGUCUCGGCAGUCUUUAUCGGUUGUGCACCUCUGUUUUCAGAUUAGGAGGUAUCGGCCAUCGCGAUUCAUUGUGAUGGUGUUAAGCCUUGGCUAACGUUCGUUUCGGUGGACAUCGGUGGUGGGGCAGUCGGACCCAGAGCUUCGACUUGAAGAUGGCGUGUGCCCGCAGCAAACGCCAUCACUUUCUGACAUGGUCUACUGCUUCCAAAUCGCAGUGUACUGUUGCUCUCCUUCACUUUCGCUAGUUCGAACUUUCGUUAACUCGAACUCAAGCGGCUUCCCCUUGCGGUUCGAAUUAACGAGCUUUUACUGUAGUACGAAUGCUUGCUGUAUUUACCACAUGGUUGUUUCAUUUCGUCUGAGGCACUAGUGGCCGUUAGCAGCAGAUGUCAUGUGGCCUUAUGUGCAAUAUUUUUAUGUUGCAUAGUUUUGUCCAUAAUCAUCCAUUGAAUGCACUGCAGACCCAUGUUCUGGACAACUGCCUGUUUGAAGGAAUGAUCUGCAUAUUCAGUGUGUCUAAUGUCAACAUCUCUAGUACUGCCUCUGUAUUUGUGAGUUAGAUUUUGUAUUGUGUGUCAUUUUGUUUUCACUGUGCUUUAGUUUCACUACAUCGUGAAUGCGUUGAUAGUUUUCCUUUUGCAGUGAGAGAUAUGGUGGGCAGUGGCCGGCACUAAUAUGAUAGUACGAAUGCUUGCUGUAUUUACCACGUGGUUGUUUCAUUUUGUCUAGCGCAGUAAUGGCCAUUAGCAGCAGAUGCCAUUUGGCCUUAAGUGCAAUAUUUUUAUGUUGCAUAGUUAUGUUCAUACUAAUCCAUUGAAUGCACUGCACACCCAUGUUCUGGACAACUGCCUGUUUGAAGGAAUGACCUGCAUAUUCAGCGAGUUUUAUGUGAACGUCUCUAGUACUGACUGUAUAUUUAUCAGUUAGAUUUUAUAUUGUAUGUUGCUUGUUUUCACUGUACUUUAGUGGGAUUGCACAUUGAAUGUGUUGCGAUGUAUUUUAUUUUGCUAUGAGAGAUCUAAUGGGCAGUUACCAGCCCCCAGUCUGUGUGUUAGUACAAAUAUUUAUUAUGCUUAUCACAGUAUCUUAUAAAGCUAUA